AUAGUUUUAUUAACGGUAAUAGAGUAGAAAAUACGGUUACCCUAGAUUGGAAUUUCUUUUAAAGAAUGUAGUGUAUUUGAUAUUUUUGAAAAAAGCUUUUAUUUAGAGAUCUUCUCGAAUAAGAGGAUGUGAUACUCCUAAAACCAAUGAGCAGGCGUUUAAUCACGUCACACAUCAGAAACUGUGAGAAUAAAACACCACGCCUGUCCUGCAUAACUGAGCACAGACUCUCUGGCCCACAGCAAACAUCUCUGGAAGAAGAAGAAGGCAUCAUCAUGAAUAAAAUACUCGCAUUGUGCCUUGGGUUACUGAUUAUAACCUUACCCUUUUCAUCUCAGGGAGAGACUAAACCUAACAACACUGAUGCUGGUACUCAAAAAGGGCCCAGUUCUGGAGGAUUGGGUCCGCUGCCCACCGCGCUGUGCCUGCUGAUCCCAGCAGUCACCCUGGGCUUCAUCCACAGUAGAUCCUAAACUGGCUGGAGAAUGUUUAGAUGACCAAGAGGAGCAAAGACACGAAGAGCAAACUUUUCCAAAAUUCUUGAAGAUAGAAGACACAGCAAGAACAACUCAACAAGGAGGUGCCACAACAACUCACAUUAGUUACAGAUUAACAGGCUAUUAUUUUUUUUUUAAAUAAUAAAAACUGGGAUUUUGAAGGAAUUGCCACUGUAUACUGUACCGAGGGUCCUCCAAACCCCAACAAAACCACACCAUGAGACUCUUUUUUGUUGUGUUUUAGUCUUGCUUUAAAUUGAACUUAGAAAUCAGUCGCAACAUCUUGUGAAAGACUGUAUGAAUCUGAUCAUUGUAAUCCAUGUCCUCCAAAAUAUUUUUGUACUAAUUGUGAUGAACUAUCAAUUGUAAUGAUUAAAAUGUGUCUAUAUGCAAAAUUAAAGUGGAUGAUUUGA
This is a long non-coding RNA of Cyprinus carpio (common carp), 910 nucleotides long. RefSeq lists it as uncharacterized. The record is from RefSeq and is a predicted model, not a curated record. Lineage: Eukaryota; Metazoa; Chordata; Actinopteri; Cypriniformes; Cyprinidae.